RNAcentral lists this ribosomal RNA (292 nucleotides) under uncultured bacterium. RNAcentral's name for it is "partial 16S ribosomal RNA". It matches the Rfam family "Bacterial small subunit ribosomal RNA", at positions 505 to 796 of the family's 1533-position model. The record is from RNAcentral.
GUGCCAGCAGCCGCGGUAAUACGUAGGCAGCGAGCGUUGUUCGGAAUUACUGGGCGUAAAGAGUGUGUAGGCGGUGUUCCCAGUCUGUUGUGAAAUCUCCCGGCUUAACUGGGAGGGUGCAGCGGAAACUAGAAUGCUAGAGGGUGGGAGAGGUAAGCGGAAUUCCUGGUGUAGCGGUGAAAUGCGUAGAUAUCAGGAGGAACACCUGUGGUGUAGACAGCUUACUGGACCACUUCUGACGCUGAGACACGAAAGCGUGGGUAGCAAACAGGAUUAGAAACCCCCGUAGUCC